AGUGAACGCUGGCGGUAGGCCUAACACAUGCAAGUCGAACGGCAGCACAGGAGAGCUUGCUCUCUGGGUGGCGAGUAGCGGACGGGUGAGGAAUACAUCGGAAUCUACUCUGUCGUGGGGAUAACGUAGGGAAACUUACGCUAAUACCGCAUACGACCUACGGGUGAAAGCAGGGGACCUUCGGGCCUUGCGCGAUUGAAUGAGCCGAUGUCGGAUUAGCUAGUUGGCGGGGUAAAGGCCCACCAAGGCGACGAUCCGUAGCUGGUCUGAGAGGAUGAUCAGCCACACUGGAACUGAGACACGGUCCAGACUCCUACGGGAGGCAGCAGUGGGGAAUAUUGGACAAUGGGCGCAAGCCUGACCCAGCCAUACCGCGUGGGUGAAGAAGGCCUUCGGGUUGUAAAGCCCUUUUGUUGGGAAAGAAAUCCAGCUGGCUAAUACCCGGUUGGGAUGACGGUACCCAAAGAAUAAGCACCGGCUAACUUCGUGCCAGCCGCCGCCGUAA
RNAcentral lists this ribosomal RNA (505 nucleotides) under uncultured bacterium. Its description in RNAcentral is "partial 16S ribosomal RNA". It matches the Rfam family "Bacterial small subunit ribosomal RNA", at positions 29 to 523 of the family's 1533-position model. The record is from RNAcentral.